Molecule: ribosomal RNA, 253 nt
Filed under: uncultured bacterium
Lineage: Bacteria
Description: partial 16S ribosomal RNA
Rfam family: Bacterial small subunit ribosomal RNA
Source: RNAcentral
UACGUAGGUGGCAAGCGUUGUCCGGAUUUACUGGGCGUAAAGAGCGCGCAGGCGGUCGAAUAAGUCGAAUGUGAAAGCCCCCGGCUUAACUGGGGAGGGUCAUUCGAUACUGCUCGACUUGAAGGCAGGAGAGGGUAGUGGAAUUCCCGGUGUAGUGGUGAAAUGCGUAGAUAUCUGGAGGAAUACCGGUGGCGAAGGCGGCAUCCUGGACCGGCAUUGACGCUGAUGAGCGAAAGCUAGGGGAGCAAACGGG